Molecule: ribosomal RNA, 468 nt
Filed under: uncultured bacterium
Lineage: Bacteria
Description: partial 16S ribosomal RNA
Rfam family: Bacterial small subunit ribosomal RNA
Source: RNAcentral
GACGAACGCUGGCGGCGUGCUUAACACAUGCAAGUCGAACGGAAAGGCCCCGCUUUUGUGGGGUGCUCGAGUGGCGAACGGGUGAGUAACACGUGAGUAACCUGCCCUUGACUUUGGGAUAACUUCAGGAAACUGGGGCUAAUACCUGAUAGGAGCUCCUGCUGCAUGGUGGGGGUUGGAAAGUUUCGGCGGUUGGGGAUGGACUCGCGGCUUAUCAGCUUGUUGGUGGGGUAGUGGCUUACCAAGGCUUUGACGGGUAGCCGGCCUGAGAGGGUGACCGGCCACAUUGGGACUGAGAUACGGCCCAGACUCCUACGGGAGGCAGCAGUGGGGAAUAUUGCACAAUGGGCGGAAGCCUGAUGCAGCAACGCCGCGUGCGGGAUGACGGCCUUCGGGUUGUAAACCGCUUUCGCCUGUGACGAAGCGUGAGUGACGGUAAUGGGUAAAGAAGCACCGGCUAACUACGUG